This 774-nucleotide ribosomal RNA is filed under the name uncultured Neocallimastigales. RNAcentral describes it as "partial large subunit ribosomal RNA". It matches the Rfam family "Eukaryotic large subunit ribosomal RNA", at positions 18 to 643 of the family's 3401-position model. The record is from RNAcentral. Lineage: Eukaryota; Fungi; Neocallimastigomycota; Neocallimastigomycetes; Neocallimastigales.
UCAGACGAUGCGUCAUGCAUAUCAAUAAGCGGAGGAAAAGAAACUAACAAGGAUUCCCCUAGUAACGGCGAGUGAAGCGGGAAGAGCUCAAAUUUGAAAUCUUAAAGGGUUUCCCUUUACGAGUUGUAGUUUAAAGAAGUGUUUUCUGUUGAGGUUUUGGUAAAAGUUCUUUGGAAUAGGACAUCAUAGAGGGUGAGAAUCCCGUAUUUGACCUUUACUUUCAACUUUGUGAUACACUUUCAAAGAGUCGGAUUGUUUGGGAAUGCAGUCCAAAAUGGGUGGUAAAUUUCAUCUAAAGCUAAAUAUUGGCGAGAGACCGAUAGCGAACAAGUACCGUGAGGGAAAGAUGAAAAGAACUUUGAAAAGAGAGUUAAACAGUACGUGAAAUUGUCAAAAGGGAAGCGUUUGACACCAGUGUUGUUUUUCUGAAAAUCAAUUAAAGAACUGUUUAUGCUAAGCUGUUUAGACUUUAUCAGCUAUCUGUUUAGUUUUGAGCUUUUCUUUAAUGCACUUUUCAGUUAACAAGUCAACAUCAAUUUCUUUUGCUGUAAAAAAGCUUGAGGAAGGUGGCUUGAGAUUCGUCUUAAGUGUUUAUAGCCUCUUGCCUAUGCAGUCGGAGAGAUUGAGGUCUGCAGCGUAGAUCCUUCGGGGCUAAAUGCAUUUGUGCUAAGUUAUAGCAUUUUAUAGACAUCUUGUUGACUAUGAUUUGUCUUGUAGCUUACUCGCUUAUGUUAUUUUACCUACGCUUAGGAUGUUGACACACGCGCGUGCUCG